ACACAUGCAAGUCGAACGGAAAGGCCCUGCUUUUGUGGGGUGCUCGAGUGGCGAACGGGUGAGUAACACGUGAGUAACCUGCCCUUGACUUUGGGAUAACUUCAGGAAACUGGGGCUAAUACCGGAUAGGAGCUCCUGCUGCAUGGUGGGGGUUGGAAAGUUUCGGCGGUUGGGGAUGGACUCGCGGCUUAUCAGCUUGUUGGUGGGGUAGUGGCUUACCAAGGCUUUGACGGGUAGCCGGCCUGAGAGGGUGACCGGCCACAUUGGGACUGAGAUACGGCCCAGACUCCUACGGGAGGCAGCAGUGGGGAAUAUUGCACAAUGGGCGGAAGCCUGAUGCAGCAACGCCGCGUGCGGGAUGACGGCCUUCGGGUUGUAAACCGCUUUCGCCUGUGACGAAGCGUGAGUGACGGUAAUGGGUAAAGAAGCACCGGCUAACUACGUGCCAGCAGCCGCGGUGAUACGUAGGGUGCGAGCGUUGUCCGGAUUUAUUGGGCGUAAAGGGCUCGUAGGUGGUUGAUCGCGUCGGAAGUGUAAUCUUGGGGCUUAACCCUGAGCGUGCUUUCGAUACGGGUUGACUUGAGGAAGGUAGGGGAGAAUGGAAUUCCUGGUGGAGCGGUGGAAUGCGCAGAUAUCAGGAGGAACACCAGUGGCGAAGGCGGUUCUCUGGGCCUUUCCUGACGCUGAGGAGCGAAAGCGUGGGGAGCGAACAGGCUUAGAUACCCUGGUAGUCCACGCUGUAAACGGUGGGUACUAGGUGUGGGGUCCAUUCCACGGGUUCCAUGCCGUAGCUAACGCUUUAAGUACCCCGCCUGGGGAGUACGGCCGCAAGGCUAAAACUCAAAGGAAUUGACGGGGCCCCGCACAAGCGGCGGAGCAUGCGGAUUAAUUCGAUGCAACGCGUAGAACCUUACCUGGGUUUGACAUGGAUCGGGAGUGCUCAGAGAUGGGUGUGCCUCUUUUGGGGUCGGUUCACAGGUGGUGCAUGGCUGUCGUCAGCUCGUGUCGUGAGAUGUUGGGUUAAGUCCCGCAACGAGCGCAACCCUUGUUCACUGUUGCCAGCACGUUAUGGUGGGGACUCAGUGGAGACCGCCGGGGUCAACUCGGAGGAAGGUGGGGAUGACGUCAAGUCAUCAUGCCCCUUAUGUCCAGGGCUUCACGCAUGCUACAAUGGCUGGUACAGAGAGUGGCGAGCCUGUGAGGGUGAGCGAAUCUCGGAAAGCCGGUCUCAGUUCGGAUUGGGGUCUGCAACUCGACCUCAUGAAGUCGGAGUCGCUAGUAAUCGCAGAUCAGCAACGCUGCGGUGAAUACGUUCCCGGGGCUUGUACACACCGCCCGUCAAGUCAUGAAAGUUGGUAACACCCGAAGCCGGUGGCCUAACCGUUGUGGGGGAGCCGUCGAAGGUGGGACUGGUGAUUAGCACUA
Molecule: ribosomal RNA, 1425 nt
Filed under: uncultured organism
Description: partial small subunit ribosomal RNA
Rfam family: Bacterial small subunit ribosomal RNA
Source: RNAcentral